RNAcentral lists this ribosomal RNA (253 nucleotides) under uncultured bacterium. Its description in RNAcentral is "partial 16S ribosomal RNA". It matches the Rfam family "Bacterial small subunit ribosomal RNA", at positions 524 to 776 of the family's 1533-position model. The record is from RNAcentral.
UACAGAGGGUGCGAGCGUUAAUCGGAAUUACUGGGCGUAAAGCGUGCGUAGACGGCUAUCUAAGUCGGGUGUGAAAGCCCCGGGCUCAACCUGGGAAUUGCAUUCGAGACUGAAUAGCUGGGGUACGGUAGAGGGAAGCGGAAUUUCCGGUGUAGCGGUGAAAUGCGUAGAUAUCGGAAGGAACAUCAGUGGCGAAGGCGGUUCCCUGGGCAUGACCUGACGCUGAGGAGCGAAAGUGUGGGGAGCGAACAGG